Molecule: ribosomal RNA, 1960 nt
Filed under: freshwater bacterium LH6-2
Lineage: Bacteria
Description: bacterial LSU rRNA
Rfam family: Bacterial large subunit ribosomal RNA
Source: RNAcentral
AUAAGCAAAAUAAGGGCGUAUGGGGGAUGCCUAGGCUCUCAGAGGCGAUGAAGGACGUGAUAAGCUGCGAAAAGCUGCGGGGAUUGGCACAUACGAAUUGAUCCGCAGAUAUCCGAAUGGGGCAACCCAAUACAUUGAAGAUGUAUUACUCCGAUAGGAGGGCGAACCCGCUGAACUGAAACAUCUAAGUAGGCGGAGGAGAAGAAAACAAUAGUGAUUGCGUGAGUAGUGGCGAGCGAAAGCGUAGGAGCCCAAACCAGAGUUGUUGCGGCAAUUUUGGGGUUGUAGGACCACGAUAUUUGAUGCUAAUUGAACUGGAACUACCUGGAAAGGUAGACGAUACAAGGUGAUAGUCCUGUACAGGUAAGAGAAGUUAUUGAUAGUGGUAUCCUGAGUAGGGCGGGGCACGUGAAACCCUGUCUGAAUUUGCCGGGACCAUCCGGUAAGGCUAAAUACUCCUGAGAGACCGAUAGUGAACCAGUACUGUGAAGGAAAGGUGAAAAGAACCGUGAAUAACGGAGUGAAAUAGAACCUGAAACCAUACGCUUACAAGCGGUCGGAGCCCUUUAAUGGGGUGACGGCGUGCCUUUUGCAUAAUGAGCCUACGAGUUACCGUUGCUGGCAAGGAUAAGUACUUCAGGUAUGGAUCCGUAGCGAAAGCGAGUCUGAAUAGGGCGCUUGAGUCAGUAGUGGUAGACGCGAAACCGUGUGAUCUACCCAUGGGCAGGAUGAAGCUGUGGUAACACAUAGUGGAGGUCCGAACCGGUUGACGUUGAAAAGUCUUCGGAUGACCUGUGGGUAGGGGUGAAAGGCCAAUCAAACUCGGAAAUAGCUCGUACUCCCCGAAAUGCAUUUAGGUGCAGCGCUGAUAUUGAGUUAUAUAGAGGUAGAGCUACUGAUUGGAUGCGGGGGCUUCACCGCCUACCAAUUCCUGACAAACUCCGAAUGCUAUAUAAUAUGAUCAGCAGUGAGGGCAUGGGUGCUAAGGUCCAUGUCCGAGAGGGAAAGAACCCAGACCAUCAGCUAAGGUCCCCAAAUGUAUGCUAAGUUGAACAAACGCGGUUUGUCUGCCUUGACAGCUAGGAUGUUGGCUUGGAAGCAGCCAUUCAUUUAAAGAGUGCGUAACAGCUCACUAGUCGAGCGGACGAGCAUGGAUAAUAAUCGGGCAUAAGUAUACUACCGAAGCUAUGGACAGAAUAUUCUGUGGUAGGGGAGCAUUCUAACAGGGCCGAAGGUGUAGCGUGAGCUAUGCUGGACUGGUUAGAAAAGAAAAUGUAGGCAUAAGUAACGAUAAUGCGGGCGAGAAACCCGCACACCGAAAGACUAAGGUUUCCUCAGCUAUGCUAAUCAGCUGAGGGUUAGUCGGGUCCUAAGGCGCACCCGAAAGGGGAAGUCGAUGGCCAACGGGUUAAUAUUCCCGUACUACUUGUAAUUGUGAUGGGGUGACGGAGUGAUGAAAGUACCGCCAACUGACGGAAUAGUUGGUUAAAGUACGUAACUAAAGGCCUUGUAGUAAAAUGCGCAGGGACUGGUGAAAUACGAUAGUACACGGCGUCUUCGGACAAAGUGAUAGUGUACCUAAGGGCUUCCAAGAAAAACCUCUAAACUUAGAUUACAAGUACCCGUACCGUAAACCGACACAGGUAGUCGAGGAGAGAAUCCUAAGGUGCUCGAGAGAUUCAUGGCUAAGGAAUUAGGCAAAAUAGACCUGUAACUUCGGGAGAAAGGUCGCCAGCAGCAAUGCUGGCCGCAGUGAAAAGGUCCAGGCGACUGUUUAUCAAAAACACAGGGCUCUGCAAAAUCGUAAGAUGAGGUAUAGGGCCUGACACCUGCCCGGUGCUGGAAGGUUAAGAGGAGAUGUUAUCUUCGGAGAAGCAUUGAAUUGAAGCCCCAGUAAACGGCGGCCGUAACUAUAACGGUCCUAAGGUAGCGAAAUUCCUUGUCGGGUAAGUUCCGACCU